CUCCUACGGGAGGCAGCAGUAAGGAAUAUUGGUCAAUGGAGGCAACUCUGAACCAGCCAUGCCGCGUGGAGGAUGAAGGUCCUCUGGAUUGUAAACUUCUUUUAUAUGGGACGAAAAAAGGCUUUUCUAAGUCGUCUGACGGUACCAUAUGAAUAAGCACCGGCUAACUCCGUGCCAGCAGCCGCGGUAAUACGGAGGGUGCAAGCGUUAUCCGGAUUCACUGGGUUUAAAGGGUGCGUAGGUGGGUUGGUAAGUCAGUGGUGAAAUCCCCGAGCUUAACUUGGGAACUGCCAUUGAUACUAUCAGUCUUGAAUACCGUGGAGGUCGGCGGAAUAUGUCAUGUAGCGGUGAAAUGCUUAGAUAUGACAUAGAACACCAAUUGCGAAGGCAGCUGGCUACGCGGAUAUUGACACUGAGGCACGAAAGCGUGGGGAUCAAACAGGAUUAGAUACCCUGGUAGUCCACGCCCUAAACUAUGGAUACUCGACAUUUGCGAUAAACUGUAAGUGUCUGAGCGAAAGCAUUA
This 526-nucleotide ribosomal RNA is filed under the name uncultured bacterium. RNAcentral describes it as "bacterial SSU rRNA". It matches the Rfam family "Bacterial small subunit ribosomal RNA", at positions 336 to 862 of the family's 1533-position model. The record is from RNAcentral.